GGCCGGGCCCUCGCGCAAACGAGGUCUGUGAACCCGCCAGGUCCGGAAGGAAGCAACGGUAGCGGAAUUUUUGUUGUGCAGCGAGUCAGCCUGGCCAAC
This 99-nucleotide signal recognition particle RNA is filed under the name Deltaproteobacteria bacterium. RNAcentral's name for it is "signal recognition particle sRNA small type". It matches the Rfam family "Bacterial small signal recognition particle RNA". Rfam says of the family: The signal recognition particle (SRP) is a universally conserved ribonucleoprotein involved in the co-translational targeting of proteins to membranes. Archaeal SRP consists of a 7S RNA and homologues of the eukaryotic SRP19 and SRP54 proteins. The record is from RNAcentral. Lineage: Bacteria; Pseudomonadati; Myxococcota; Myxococcia.